Atta colombica is the source of this 324-nucleotide long non-coding RNA. RefSeq lists it as uncharacterized. NCBI's taxonomy places the organism in Eukaryota, Metazoa, Arthropoda, Insecta, Hymenoptera, Formicidae. The transcript has 2 exons. The record is from RefSeq and is a predicted model, not a curated record.
UAGAUUUUCCUUUGAAACAUAUUAAACAUAUGAAGGAUAUUAAUGUAUAUGAAAUAUCUAAAAAUCAAGACGAAGCAAAAAUGGUAUUAGAAAUUGCUCUGGAAACAAUUGCAGAACAGGCAAAGAAAAUACAACGUUUGCAAAUUCAAAGAUGUAAACUAAAAAACCAAGUGCAGAGUUUGACUGAAUUAAAUAAACAAUUACAUGAUAAUAAUUUCUAAGAAUGCUUUAGAACUAGUGAAUUGGUUAGUCGCCGCGGCAGGCCGGGAAGUGGCCGAGAGCAAUGAAGAUGGACGUUCGAGAAUUGUGAUCUUACGCUCAAAC